Molecule: ribosomal RNA, 554 nt
Filed under: Micrauchenus lineola
Lineage: Eukaryota; Metazoa; Arthropoda; Insecta; Hemiptera; Reduviidae
Description: partial 16S ribosomal RNA
Rfam family: Bacterial large subunit ribosomal RNA
Source: RNAcentral
CGCCUGUUUAUCAAAAACAUGUCCUUUUGUUUAAUUAUAUUAAGGUUUGACCUGCCCAAUGAUUUCUAUUUAAUGGCCGCGGUAUUUUAACUGUGCUAAGGUAGCAUAAUCACUUGUCUUUUAAUUGAAGGCUGGAAUGAAUGGUUGGACGAGGUAUUUUCUUUCUUUAGUAUAAUUUGUGAAUUUAAUCUCUUAGUUAGAAAGCUAAGAUAUUUUUGUUGGACGAGAAGACCCUGUAGAUCUUUAUAUUUCUUGUUAUUUGGUUAUUUGGUAUAUUUACACUUUUAUAUAAAGAAGUAUUUGGUUGGGGUGAUUUUGGAAUUAGAAUAACUUCUGGUUUAUUAUUUUCAUUAAUUUAUGUUUUUUUGAUCCAUUAUUAUUGAUUAAAAGAUUAAGUUACCUCAGGGAUAACAGCGUAAUCUCUCUGGAGAGUUCAUAUCGAUGGAGGGGUUUGCGACCUCGAUGUUGGAUUAAAAUAAGUAGUAGGAGUAGUUUUUUACUAACUAGGUCUGUUCGACCUUUGAUUUUUUACAUGAUCUGAGUUCAAACCGGAG